CCCUUGUGCCAGUGGGAGCAUGUGACGACGGCGCCCACUCUCAAAAUAAAAAAUCGAUGUCUACAACUACCUUGAAGGCACUAAACUGCUUGGCGCUUAUCUGCACGAAGUGGGAAAAUUGUAAACAAGCAGACAAUCUAUAUACCGCCU
Molecule: non-coding RNA, 150 nt
Organism: Drosophila suzukii
Lineage: Eukaryota; Metazoa; Arthropoda; Insecta; Diptera; Drosophilidae
Source: RefSeq, a predicted model, not a curated record